Molecule: transfer RNA, 76 nt
Filed under: Opitutaceae bacterium
Lineage: Bacteria; Pseudomonadati; Verrucomicrobiota; Opitutia; Opitutales; Opitutaceae
Description: tRNA-Met
Rfam family: tRNA
About the family: Transfer RNA (tRNA) molecules are approximately 80 nucleotides in length. Their secondary structure includes four short double-helical elements and three loops (D, anti-codon, and T loops).
Source: RNAcentral
GGGCUGGUAGCUUAACGGUUAAAGCAGAGGACUCAUAAUCCUUUGACUGUGGGUUCGAAUCCCACCCGGCCCACCA